This 781-nucleotide ribosomal RNA is filed under the name uncultured bacterium. RNAcentral describes it as "bacterial SSU rRNA". It matches the Rfam family "Bacterial small subunit ribosomal RNA", at positions 28 to 809 of the family's 1533-position model. The record is from RNAcentral.
GAUGAACGCUGGCGGCGUGCCUAACACAUGCAAGUCGAGCGAAGCACUUUGCUUAGAUUCUUCGGAUGAAGAGGAUUGUGACUGAGCGGCGGACGGGUGAGUAACGCGUGGGUAACCUGCCUCAUACAGGGGGAUAACAGUUAGAAAUGACUGCUAAUACCGCAUAAGACCACAGCACCGCAUGGUGCGGGGGUAAAAACUCCGGUGGUAUGAGAUGGACCCGCGUCUGAUUAGCUAGUUGGUAAGGUAACGGCUUACCAAGGCGACGAUCAGUAGCCGACCUGAGAGGGUGACCGGCCACAUUGGGACUGAGACACGGCCCAAACUCCUACGGGAGGCAGCAGUGGGGAAUAUUGCACAAUGGGGGAAACCCUGAUGCAGCGACGCCGCGUGAGCGAAGAGGUAUUUCGGUAUGUAAAGCUCUAUCAGCAGGGAAGAAAAUGACGGUACCUGACUAAGAAGCACCGGCUAAAUACGUGCCAGCAGCCGCGGUAAUACGUAUGGUGCAAGCGUUAUCCGGAUUUACUGGGUGUAAAGGGAGCGUAGACGGAUGGGCAAGUCUGAUGUGAAAACCCGGGGCUCAACCCCGGGACUGCAUUGGAAACUGUUCAUCUAGAGUGCUGGAGAGGUAAGUGGAAUUCCUAGUGUAGCGGUGAAAUGCGUAGAUAUUAGGAGGAACACCAGUGGCGAAGGCGGCUUACUGGACAGUAACUGACGUUGAGGCUCGAAAGCGUGGGGAGCAAACAGGAUUAGAUACCCUGGUAGUCCACGCCGUAAACGA